UUAAGCGACUAAGCGUACACGGUGGAUGCCCUGGCAGUCAGAGGCGAUGAAGGACGUGCUAAUCUGCGAAAAGCGUCGGUAAGGUGAUAUGAACCGUUAUAGCCGGCGAUGUCCGAAUGGGGAAACCCAGUGUGAUUCGUCACACUAUCGUUAACUGAAUACAUAGGUUAACGAGGCGAACCGGGGGAACUGAAACAUCUAAGUACCCCGAGGAAAAGAAAUCAACCGAGAUUCCCCCAGUAGCGGCGAGCGAACGGGGAGCAGCCCAGAGUCUGAAUCAGCUUGUGUGUUAGUGGAACGGUCUGGAAAGUCCGACGGUACAGGGUGAUAGUCCCGUACACCAAAAUGCACAGGUUGUGAACUCGAAGAGUAGGGCGGGACACGUGGUAUCCUGUCUGAAUAUGGGGGGACCAUCCUCCAAGGCUAAAUACUCCUGACUGACCGAUAGUGAACCAGUACCGUGAGGGAAAGGCGAAAAGAACCCCGGCGAGGGGAGUGAAAAAGAACCUGAAACCGUGUACGUACAAGCAGUGGGAGCACCUUCGGGUGUGACUGCGUACCUUUUGUAUAAUGGGUCAGCGACUUAUAUUCUGUAGCAAGGUUAACCGUAUAGGGGAGCCGCAGGGAAACCGAGUCUUAACUGGGCGUUAAGUUGCAGGGUAUAGACCCGAAACCCGGUGAUCUAGCCAUGGGCAGGUUGAAGGUUGGGUAACACUAACUGGAGGACCGAACCGACUAAUGUUGAAAAAUUAGCGGAUGACUUGUGGCUGGGGGUGAAAGGCCAAUCAAACCGGGAGAUAGCUGGUUCUCCCCGAAAGCUAUUUAGGUAGCGCCUCGUGAAUUCAUCUUCGGGGGUAGAGCACUGUUUCGGCUAGGGGGUCAUCCCGACUUACCAACCCGAUGCAAACUACGAAUACCGAAGAAUGUUAUCACGGGAGACACACGGCGGGUGCUAACGUCCGUCGUGAAGAGGGAAACAACCCAGACCGCCAGCUAAGGUCCCAAAGUCAUGGUUAAGUGGGAAACGAUGUGGGAAGGCACAGACAGCCAGGAUGUUGGCUUAGAAGCAGCCAUCAUUUAAAGAAAGCGUAAUAGCUCACUGGUCGAGUCGGCCUGCGCGGAAGAUGUAACGGGGCUAAACCAUGCACCGAAGCUGCGGCAGCGACACUAUGUGUUGUUGGGUAGGGGAGCGUUCUGUAAGCCUGCGAAGGUGUGCUGUGAGGCAUGCUGGAGGUAUCAGAAGUGCGAAUGCUGACAUAAGUAACGAUAAAGCGGGUGAAAAGCCCGCUCGCCGGAAGACCAAGGGUUCCUGUCCAACGUUAAUCGGGGCAGGGUGAGUCGACCCCUAAGGCGAGGCCGAAAGGCGUAGUCGAUGGGAAACAGGUUAAUAUUCCUGUACUUGGUGUUACUGCGAAGGGGGGACGGAGAAGGCUAUGUUAGCCGGGCGACGGUUGUCCCGGUUUAAGCAUGUAGGCUGAUUGUCCAGGCAAAUCCGGAUAAUCAAGGCUGAGGUGUGAUGACGAGGCACUACGGUGCUGAAGUAACAAAUGCCCUGCUUCCAGGAAAAGCCUCUAAGCAUCAGGUAACAUUAAAUCGUACCCCAAACCGACACAGGUGGUCAGGUAGAGAAUACCAAGGCGCUUGAGAGAACUCGGGUGAAGGAACUAGGCAAAAUGGUGCCGUAACUUCGGGAGAAGGCACGCUGGUGUGUAGGUGAAGUCCCUGCGGAUGGAGCUGAGACCAGUCGAAGAUACCAGCUGGCUGCAACUGUUUAUUAAAAACACAGCACUGUGCAAACACGAAAGUGGACGUAUACGGUGUGACGCCUGCCCGGUGCCGGAAGGUUAAUUGAUGGGGUUAUCCGUAAGGAGAAGCUCUUGAUCGAAGCCCCGGUAAACGGCGGCCGUAACUAUAACGGUCCUAAGGUAGCGAAAUUCCUUGUCGGGUAAGUUCCGACCUGCACGAAUGGCGUAAUGAUGGCCAGGCUGUCUCCACCCGAGACUCAGUGAAAUUGAACUCGCUGUGAAGAUGCAGUGUACCCGCGGCAAGACGGAAAGACCCCGUGAACCUUUACUAUAGCUUGACACUGAACAUUGAGCCUUGAUGUGUAGGAUAGGUGGGAGGCUUUGAAGCGUGGACGCCAGUCUGCGUGGAGCCAACCUUGAAAUACCACCCUUUAAUGUUUGAUGUUCUAACGUUGGCCCCUUACCGGGGUUGCGGACAGUGUCUGGUGGGUAGUUUGACUGGGGCGGUCUCCUCCCAAAGCGUAACGGAGGAGCACGAAGGUUAGCUAAUCCUGGUCGGACAUCAGGAGGUUAGUGCAAUGGCAUAAGCUAGCUUGACUGCGAGCGUGACGGCGCGAGCAGGUGCGAAAGCAGGUCAUAGUGAUCCGGUGGUUCUGAAUGGAAGGGCCAUCGCUCAACGGAUAAAAGGUACUCCGGGGAUAACAGGCUGAUACCGCCCAAGAGUUCAUAUCGACGGCGGUGUUUGGCACCUCGAUGUCGGCUCAUCACAUCCUGGGGCUGAAGUAGGUCCCAAGGGUAUGGCUGUUCGCCAUUUAAAGUGGUACGCGAGCUGGGUUUAGAACGUCGUGAGACAGUUCGGUCCCUAUCUGCCGUGGGCGCUGGAGAAUUGAGGGGGGCUGCUCCUAGUACGAGAGGACCGGAGUGGACGCAUCACUGGUGUUCGGGUUGUCAUGCCAAUGGCACUGCCCGGUAGCUAAAUGCGGAAGAGAUAAGUGCUGAAAGCAUCUAAGCACGAAACUUGCCCCGAGAUGAGUUCUCCCUGAGACUUUAAGUCUCCUGAAGGAACGUUGAAGACGACGACGUUGAUAGGCCGGGUGUGUAAGCGCAGCGAUGCGUUGAGCUAACCGGUACUAAUGAACCGUGAGGCUUAACCU
Molecule: ribosomal RNA, 2899 nt
Filed under: Klebsiella pneumoniae
Lineage: Bacteria; Pseudomonadati; Pseudomonadota; Gammaproteobacteria; Enterobacterales; Enterobacteriaceae
Description: 23S ribosomal RNA
Rfam family: Bacterial large subunit ribosomal RNA
Source: RNAcentral